Molecule: ribosomal RNA, 366 nt
Filed under: uncultured organism
Description: bacterial SSU rRNA
Rfam family: Bacterial small subunit ribosomal RNA
Source: RNAcentral
CGGAGGAUCCAAGCGUUAUCCGGAAUCAUUGGGUUUAAAGGGUCCGUAGGCGGGUUUAUAAGUCAGUGGUCGAAAGCCCAUCGCUCAACGAUGGAACGGCAUUGAUACUGUAGAUCUUGGAUUAUUAGGAAGUAACUAGAAUAUGUAGUGUAGCGGUGAAAUGCUUAGAGAUUACAUGGAAUACCAAUUGCGAAGGCAGGUUACUACUAAUGGAUUGACGCUGAUGGACGAAAGCGUGGGUAGCGAACAGGAUUAGAUACCCUGGUAGUCCACGCCGUAAACGAUGGAUACUAGCUGUUCGGAGCAAUCUGAGUGGCUAAGCGAAAGUGAUAAGUAUCCCACCUGGGGAGUACGUUCGCAAGAAUG